Long non-coding RNA from Chinchilla lanigera (long-tailed chinchilla), 3745 nucleotides. RefSeq lists it as uncharacterized. The transcript has 2 exons. The record is from RefSeq and is a predicted model, not a curated record. Lineage: Eukaryota; Metazoa; Chordata; Mammalia; Rodentia; Chinchillidae.
UUCUGGAUGUCUUCUUCCUUGAGAGUCUUUAUGAAGUCUGAUCAAAGCUAUGGUGAAUGCUGCUGCUGAGCACCAUCCAACAGAAAGGCAAGCUCCUAAAUAUAGGACAGUGUGUCUUGAUCCACUUUAUUCAUCACAUCUGGCACCCGUGGCUUUUGGCUCUUUCCCAAAGUCAAAAUGACCAUGAAAGGUGCCCAUACUGGAGUCCAGCUCUGCAAGCAUUUCACACAAGAAGGACUUUGGUUGUAAAAUAUGAAAUACGCUGAAGGAGAUGUUCAAAUGCUAGAUCAAGAAAGGAGGAGAGACUAGGACAUCUGGAAAUCAUUAGCAUCAAUCAAGGAAUCAUUGCUUUACAAAUAUUGCUGUGAGUAUUCCUUGUCAGUUAAAACACUAGCUAUGUAGGGGAGGAAUGAAAAGGUGGUUUUGCUGAGUAAAGAGUAAUUCACUUAGACCCAAGGAGAGCAGAUGUUGGCUCCCCUUCCUGAAACGUCAGCCUGGAAAGUCCGCUGUGUUGUGUUACCGCAGGCAAGAAACUGCCUGGUUAGUCUCAGUUUAUUGUUUGUAGUAGAGACUUAGCUCCCUGGGGUCCCAUGGAGACACAUCGUCUAAAUGGACUUACUUGAUGCUUUAGGAUCCAUUGAUUCCAAGUCAUCCAGUCAGCAACAGGAAAAAGGAGAAAAAGGCAGUCUUUAGGGAGGAAUUAUUUUUGGAAUUCAUGGGAAAACAUCAAACAUCCUUCAAGGGUGAACCGAAUUGAUAACAACAACCACAACAAGAACAACAACAAAAACUCCAGUCAUUUCCUGCAGUCAGCAGUGGAUGUGACACUGCACCAUGGUGUUAGUGUACGUACCAUAUGCCGAAGACAGACGAUUGUAUGGUUUCAUCCCCAGAAACUGUUUCCUAGAGGGGGAAUUUUAGGCUCCUCUUCAUUGUGGAGUAUUUUGUUCAAUGAGAAAAAGGAACUAGAGGAUUUCCCAGUUUAUGCUGAAAUAUUUUGAAACCUCUCAACUUUCACCAGCCAAGACAAGACUUUUCAAGUGGUGUUGAAUCCUUUGACCUUAGACAAAGCCCUUUACAACUGUUUUUUUCAUCACAGAAAAAUGACAAAAUGGAAUGCUGCAGUUUAAAUCACUUGUAAUACAAUAAAUCAUGACUUUAUUUUAUUUUCCUAUGGAGGAGGAAGGCAGUGGAUACAUUUUAGUUGCAAUAUGGGCCAGAUUUAACUUUAGGAAGGUCACUGGGCCUAUAGUUCUGUUAUAACUUCUAAUGCUGACACAGAACCUGAAAACUCAUUCCUGGAACAUGCAUACAGUCUAACCACUUUUCCUGUUUCCUUCUAGAUUUCUUCCUACAGAGAAAAUCUAUAUGACUGUAUUAGUCGCAAAGCACAACUUCAUGAAGGAUUGUUAUUAGGCAUUAUAAUUCAUGUAUAAACAAUAUUUAAUAAGUUUAAAGUUAAGGUAAAAGAUGUUUGGGAAACACUGUACAUACCACCUAGUGAGUACAUCCUGCUAAAACACCAGAAAGAAGGUGUAGCUGCUUCUGUUUUGCAUAAAAAGUGCUUAUUCUUUUAAAAACAUCAAUUAAGAAAAGUUUGCAGUAUUUUACUUGUGACUACUAUGACUGAAAUAUGGAGAGUUGAGAUCUAUGAUAUGCCUUUUAUUUUUCUGACUUAUCAGAUCUUAAAAACUGUACAUUUAAUCCUUAGUUCGUUUUUACAUUUUGAGAGCUUCUGGUAGACCCUCUUCACCUGAUAUUUUAAUGGGAGCCUGGGUGGAAUGGUUCACUUUAUGACCACAGCACACAGAGCAGGGAGAGCGGCAGUGCUUAGUUCAGCCUCUUGUCCUGCUGAACUUCCAAGACCAUUGUUCUUCCAAGCUGCUUGCUGACUAACCCAGGCCCUUACAAGAGAUGUAUCUCAAGGCUGCUCUCUGCUGCUCUGUGCUAAUGCUGAGUCCUAAGGGCAGAGCCACAGCUGACAAACCUGGGGAGUGGGGACAGCUACUGGGCGAAUAACUGCACCACAGGCAGCUCAUCCUUUGUGAGGUGCUUCCACGGGGGUUCAGGGUACUUGGGUGUCAUCAACAGGGUGCUGCGGACAGGCUGGGGAGGAGAGCUUCAGAGUGACAGCCAGUUUGGAAGGCCAAGAAAGAAGGCCCAAAGAGCCACACAAGGGUGUUUGAAAUGCAACUUUUCCAAGGCAUUUUUAUUUUGAUAAAAUGCUGGAGGUGGCAGGACCAAAUGGACCCUCCUGAACAAAAUGGCAGACAGUUGGACCAAAUGGAACCUCCUGAUCAAAAUGGCAAGGUGCCGUGAGAGAUUAUGGGAAGGGUGUCCUUCUUGGUGCUUUUAUCUACAGCUCCCCGGCCUACCUCCCUCCAAGCUACCAAAAACCACUGCGCCUCCUUUCUUAAAAGACAUCAUUGUUCUAGAAACAAAUUUCAGACUUUCAGAAUCUAUCAAAGGACUGUAUCAUAAAAGACAGUUUAGAAAACAGAAGAAAAUUCUAUUCUACUAUGCUGGCACAAAUAAAUUUUUUUACUUAUAUCAACGCUGAAAAGUUGCCUAGUAGGUACAGUUAGAAUUAUAAUACACAUCUACCUUUGUGUCCAGAUGAGCAUGAGCAUGUCUGUACUGCUACAUGGCUAUUGAUCUGUUGAGUGGGGGAGCCAUGAUUUAUUAACAUUUUCAGCAGUGGUGGGGCAUCAGGUUGUGCUACCUGUCAAUAGGACGAGCACAGCUUUAUUCAUGUCACUUUUCUUUUGGAAAGAGUCCCAGAAGAGAGAGUCUGAGGUUGAACGUUGUGAGCACUGUUCUAGCUGUCUUUCUCUUUAUGAACUUCUUUUUACAUUUUUAAUUUUCCUGGUGCUGUGGGUCAAAUCCAGAGCCUUAAGCAUGCUAGGCAACCACUCUACCAUGGACCUAUAUCACAAGUCCUUCUUUCUGGAUCUUGAUACCAGACACUAUCUAAAAGUCCUGUGCAAAUACGCAGAGCCACUGUGGUCUGGUUGUACAAAUACACCUUUUAGCCAUUUUUGAUACUUCAUGUGGUUGGACUCCAUAGGCCCACUCCUGAUUCUUACACACUUCUGAUUGGUAAGACUGUAGUCUUCUGGAUCAGAGCUCUUCCUCCUGUGUUAGUUCCUUUCUCAUUGCAGUGAUGCAGUGCUCAACUCCAACAGCUUAAAGACAAUUUGUUUGGCUCAGGUUUCAGGUCUGUGGUCAACUGGCUCCAAGGCAGGAAAAACUUGGUGGAAGAGCCAGGGCAGAGGACACCUGCUCACCUCAUGGUGGACAGGAAGCAGAGAGAGAAGGGAGGGGCCAGCGAGGGAGAGGGACCCUUCCAGCUCAUGCCUCCAAUGACCGCCUCUUCUGUCCAUAACCCAGUAAUCCAAUUGCCUCCCACAAGCCCCACCUCUGAGUGCGUGAGGCCUUGAGGAGAUAGUCCAGGUCUAAACUGUAAUGUUUACUUUAAACUGGUAAAAUAGGUAUGACAUAGAAUUGACCAUUUUAUCCUGUUUUAAGUGUGCGGCUCAGAGUGUUCAGUGCAUUCCCUUUGCUGUGGGCUCAUCUCCAGCACCUCUUUCAUCUUGCAGAACUGAAGCUUGGUGCCCACUGAGUGUGCACUUGUCCUUGUUUCUCUGUCCCCACAGCUGGCACCCACCAUUGCCUUCCUGUCCCUAGGAACCAGACUACUUUAGGUAAGGCAUAUAAAUAAAAGCUUACACUAUUUGUCCAUUUA